UACGUAGGUCCCGAGCGUUGUCCGGAUUUAUUGGGCGUAAAGCGAGCGCAGGUGGUUUAUUAAGUCUGGUGUAAAAGGCAGUGGCUCAACCAUUGUAUGCAUUGGAAACUGGUAGACUUGAGUACAGGAGAGGAGAGUGGAAUUCCAUGUGUAGCGGUGAAAUGCGUAGAUAUAUGGAGGAACGCCGGUGGCGAAAGCGGCUCUCUGGCCUGUAACUGACACUGAGGCUCGAAAGCGUGGGGAGCAAACAGG
RNAcentral lists this ribosomal RNA (252 nucleotides) under uncultured bacterium. RNAcentral's name for it is "partial 16S ribosomal RNA". It matches the Rfam family "Bacterial small subunit ribosomal RNA", at positions 524 to 776 of the family's 1533-position model. The record is from RNAcentral.